Molecule: long non-coding RNA, 1731 nt
Organism: Oryza sativa Japonica Group (Japanese rice)
Lineage: Eukaryota; Viridiplantae; Streptophyta; Magnoliopsida; Poales; Poaceae
Source: RefSeq, a predicted model, not a curated record
CACCCGAUUCCUCCACCGCACUUUCUGCCCGCGCGAUGACUCCGCCGCCACGAAUCCCCGCUGCCUCCUCCCUCCUCCUCCCUCCCCCAUGCCUAGGGAGGCCACGAUGGGCUCCUGGCCAGUCACCGCCGCCAGCAAUGCCCGACAACGCAACGCCCUACUACGCCAAGGGAAGGCCACGAGGGGCUUCCCGCUUGCCGUCGCGGCCGCCAUGCCCUCCUCCGCACUGGACCGCUGCCACUCACUCCGCGCCCGGCGACACUAUGGCCUCCCUCUGUCGCACCAAAGGGAGCUUCCCAUUCACCGCCUCCAUCGUGUCGUGAGGGACCUCCACUUGUGGCACUUCUGACGCUGCGACGCAGUGGAGGGCAUUGCCUCUGGUGGCACCAUGGUUCUACUGCCAUUUACCGGAAUCAUAUCAUUUAGUGGUUUCAAUCUCUUCUCCCCCUUCCAAUUCAUUGUUUUGUUUCUGCAAUUUGGUUGACAAAGCAAGUUCCUUUAUUGUCUGGACAUACUGUAUUUUGCCCAGUAGGUGUUCAAUUAAAUGCCACUGAAAUAAUCUGAAUCAGAGCCGGUUUAAUCAUGCAUCUACGUGGACACAUCCUUUAGUUUUAUUGUCUAAUAGGUAUUGAUUAUGUAUAUAGCAGUGCCAUAAGAAUUUUUCUCUACAGCUCAUUCAAGCAUUCAACAAUGCUGGGCUGAUUUUUGGAAUGAGCAAUAUAAGUUUAACAUUGUUCCAUGUUUUUGCUUGUAGGAUGUAUACUUCUAUUGUUGUCCUUACCCUCAUACCUGCGUAUGUGUAGUAAUAAAUAUUGGUUGCAUAAGAAUGACACAGAAGACUGAGUGGGUCUUUGUUGCGAACCCAAAAGGCCUAUAGAUCUUACUGCUAUGAUAGACGGUGAUGAUGACAACGAUGAUGAAAGUUAUCUCAUGAGAGGUCAAGGUUGAAUUUGAUUGGAAAUCAGCUCUGCAAUGUCCUCUCAAUCAAGGAGGAGCCUAUGUCGAUUACUUGAGCUUUUUAGCCAUGUUAAUGAUUGUUGAUAUCGCUUGUAAUCUUUGUCUCCAACAACACAUUGCUCACAAGUGGGCUGGUUGAACUCCAUAUGAAUGUGCAUAAACUCAAGUGAAAUUUGGGGCCACUUUAAAGAAGAGGGGCGAAGAAGAUCUGUAAGUUAGAAGGUGAGCAACAUGGAUGGUGAUGGUGUUCUGACGUCCAAAUAUGAAACCAGCCAACCAGCUUGGCAGCCUGAAGAUCUUUUGGACCAAAAGGGCAGGCCUCUUUCCCAAGGUGAAGCACUUCGUAGCUACAAUAUGCGAGUGCUCAGCCUAUACACCAUAUCCUUAUAUGAGUAUGCUGAGAGUUUUAUUCUCCAUUGAGGUGAAGUAUGCUCAAAAGUUUCGUUAAAAUAUAUUCAGUUUAGUGAUUUUGUUCAUGAACUAACUCACUUCACUACCAUGAACUCAUUUCUCCAAAAUUUUGGAUCUUUUAUUAGCAAAUCUAUGGACUGAAGUGGGGUUUUGGCCAGAGCUCCAAUCCCCUGCAAAUCCCAAAUGCAGUACGAGUAAUAUUUUGCAAAAUUAUGUACUCCAGUUCUAUUGGAAUUGAUGUAAAACCAACAAAUUCUUAGUUUUGUCAGUUAUUAAAACGCAUAGAUGCAUAUUGUGUAUGACAUUAUAUCAAACGUGCGUUGCACGUACAUGAUUACUAGUAACUACAAAAAGAACGUGCCU